RNAcentral lists this transfer RNA (73 nucleotides) under Trichuris suis (pig whipworm). It matches the Rfam family "tRNA". From Rfam's summary of the family: Transfer RNA (tRNA) molecules are approximately 80 nucleotides in length. Lineage: Eukaryota; Metazoa; Nematoda; Enoplea; Trichinellida; Trichuridae. The record is from Rfam by way of RNAcentral.
UCCCGUGUGGUUUAGUGGCUAGGAUUUUCUGGCUUUCACCCACACGGCCCGGGUUCGAUUCCCGGCACGGGAA